GUUGUUCUUUUUUUAAGGCAUAAUUUCUCUGUGUAGCCCUGGCUGCCUUGAAACUCACUCUAGACAAGGCUGGGCUCGAACUCUGAUCCGCCACCUCUGCCUUUCAAGUACUGGCUGGGAUGGAAUGUGUGCACCGCCUCUACCCAGGAGCAAGAAAGACUCAGCCAUCUCCCCAACUGCAGAGGUACCUGUUUUUACAUGGAAUAUCCUGGGGAGGGGGUGGUUGGCAACUGGUUUUGAAUUGAAGUUUUUGAGUAGGAAAACACCGAAAUGUCGGAAAGGAAAGGAGAUAGCAAUGAAAAAGGCGCCUCGUGGAAGCGAACUGCUGUGUGGAAUUUUAUCCUGAGAGCUCGUCUCUCUCGCACAUGCUCCGUCUGUCUCCCUGUGCUUGUUUUUAUACAAUGGGACUCCUAAUCCAUCUUCUGCACAUUAUAGCACGGGAUCCUGUGGGCCAGCUAGGACAGGGGCAUUCCUGUAAAGAACACUUGGGGCUUGGGUUGGGGCUGGGCUGGCAGAGGGUUUGCCUAGCAUGCAAGAAGUCCCAGGUUCCAGCCACAGCACCAAGUGAACUGGGUGUGCUGGUUCAAACCUGUCAUCCUUGCAGUUGAGAGGACAUGGAGGGACCAAGAAGUCAAGGCCAUCUUUUGCCUGGGCUACAAGAUGGUGUCUCAAAAAAAAAAAAAAAAAA
Molecule: long non-coding RNA, 688 nt
Filed under: Rattus norvegicus (Norway rat)
Lineage: Eukaryota; Metazoa; Chordata; Mammalia; Rodentia; Muridae
Description: long non-coding RNA NONRATT020000
Source: RNAcentral